Molecule: ribosomal RNA, 682 nt
Filed under: Justicia sp. Zjhra 983
Lineage: Eukaryota; Viridiplantae; Streptophyta; Magnoliopsida; Lamiales; Acanthaceae
Description: eukaryotic LSU rRNA
Rfam family: 5.8S ribosomal RNA (bases 271-426)
Source: RNAcentral
GUGAACCUGCGGAAGGAUCAUUGUCGAAACCAUGCAAGGCAGACCGCGAACACGUGAUUAACGCCGUCGCGGGUGCGGUGCGGGGGCACGUCCCCCCGUCGCGUCCGUGACCCCCCGCCGGCGCAUGCCAGCGUGCGCCGUACGGGCUAACGAACCCCGGCGCGGAACGCGCCAAGGAAAACGUAAACGAAGCGCCCUCCCCUGUCUGUGCCCCGUUCGCGGUGUGCUCCGGACGGGUGGAAGGCUGCGCCUCACGUAGAAUGUCAAAACGACUCUCGGCAACGGAUAUCUCGGCUCUCGCAUCGAUGAAGAACGUAGCGAAAUGCGAUACUUGGUGUGAAUUGCAGAAUCCCGUGAACCAUCGAGUCUUUGAACGCAAGUUGCGCCCAAAGCCUUCGGGCCGAGGGCACGCCUGCCUGGGCGUCACGCAUCGCGUCGCCCCCUCCCCCAGCUCCCACGGAGCUGGCGGGGCGGGGGCGGAGAGUGGCCUCCCGUGCGCUCCCGUCGUGCGGCCGGCCCAAAUGCGAUCCCUCGGCGGCGCCAGUCGCGACCAGUGGUGGUUGAACCCUCAACUCGCGUGCUGAUAGUCGUGCGCAGUGGCGCCGUCCGGCCGGGCAUCACCGCGACCCAAUCGGUGCCUCGGCACCUUCGACCGCGACCCCAGGUCAGGCGGGAUUACCCG